AAAGGACAAAAGAGCCAACAUCAAGAACCAGCAGGCAGAUGAGUCCUGGAGCUGAAAGGCAUCCAGAGGGGGCAUAGAUGAUGUUCUUCAGCAUCAAAGAAGGGGAAAACUGUGGCAGAGUCAAGCAAAGCAGUUUGCCUACUGAAUGAAUGAUAACAGCUCAUACUCCAACACCACUGCUGACAAUCCCCAAACCCACAAGCUUGGAAGGAAGUGACAGGGCUUGGAUUUCCCUGGAAGGAACAUGAAGGUGGAAUUGCAAGAAAGGAAACUCUGUUUCCAUCAGAUCUUCAGUGCCAAAAAUAA
Non-coding RNA from Phascolarctos cinereus (koala), 306 nucleotides. The record is from RefSeq and is a predicted model, not a curated record. Lineage: Eukaryota; Metazoa; Chordata; Mammalia; Diprotodontia; Phascolarctidae.